AACGAACGCUGGCGGCAUGCCUAACACAUGCAAGUCGAACGAGCCCUUCGGGUCUAGUGGCGUCCGGGUGCGUAACGCGUGGGAACCUGCCCUUAGGUUCGGCCUAACUCUCCGACUGGGGUGCUAAUACCGGAUAAUGUCUUCGGACCAAUGAUUUAUUGCGUUUGGUUGGGCCAGAGUUGGAUUAGCUAGUGGGUAGGGUAAUAGCCUACCACGGCGCCGAUCCACAACUUGUCAGAGAGGAUGAUCAGCGACACUGAGACUGAGACACGGCCCAGACUCCUACGGGAGGCAGCAGUGGGGAAUAGUGGACAGUGGGCGAAAUCCUGAUCCAGCACGGACGCGUGAGUUAUGAAGGUCUUAGGGUUGUAAAGCGCAUGUACCCGUGAUGAUAAUGACAGUACCGGGAGAAUAAGCCCCGGCUAACUCCGUG
Molecule: ribosomal RNA, 433 nt
Filed under: uncultured bacterium
Lineage: Bacteria
Description: partial 16S ribosomal RNA
Rfam family: Bacterial small subunit ribosomal RNA
Source: RNAcentral